RNAcentral lists this transfer RNA (63 nucleotides) under Cicadella viridis. RNAcentral describes it as "tRNA-Arg". Lineage: Eukaryota; Metazoa; Arthropoda; Insecta; Hemiptera; Cicadellidae. The record is from RNAcentral.
AUAUAGAAGUAAAUAAAUUACAAUUAGUUUCGACCUAAUAUAAGGAAUAUAAAACCCUAUAUU